GAUGAACGCUGGCGGCGUGCCUAAUACAUGCAAGUCGAGCGAACGGACGAGAAGCUUGCUUCUCUGAUGUUAGCGGCGGACGGGUGAGUAACACGUGGAUAACCUACCUAUAAGACUGGGAUAACUUCGGGAAACCGGAGCUAAUACCGGAUGAUAUUUUGAACCGCAUGGUUCAAAAGUGAAAGACGGUCUUGCUGUCACUUAUAGAUGGAUCCGCGCUGCAUUAGCUAGUUGGUAAGGUAAUGGCUUACCAAGGCAACGAUGCAUAGCCGACCUGAGGGGGUGAUCGGCCACACUGGAACUGAGACACGGUCCAGACUCCUACGGGAGGCAGCAGUAGGGAAUCUUCCGCAAUGGGCGAAAGCCUGACGGAGCAACGCCGCGUGAGUGAUGAGGGUCUUCGGAUCGUAAAACUCUGUUAUUAGGGAAGAACAUAUGUGUAAGUAACUGUGCACAUCUUGACGGUACCUAAUCAGAAAGCCACGGCUAACUACGUG
This 497-nucleotide ribosomal RNA is filed under the name uncultured bacterium. RNAcentral describes it as "partial 16S ribosomal RNA". It matches the Rfam family "Bacterial small subunit ribosomal RNA", at positions 28 to 507 of the family's 1533-position model. The record is from RNAcentral.